Molecule: non-coding RNA, 420 nt
Organism: Misgurnus anguillicaudatus (oriental weatherfish)
Lineage: Eukaryota; Metazoa; Chordata; Actinopteri; Cypriniformes; Cobitidae
Source: the annotation of a RefSeq genome assembly
AUGACAACACAAUGCAAAGAAGAGGACAGGAAACUUCUGCUCUUUAUAUCACUGUGGUGGACUUUCGGCAGCGGCACCAGACUGAAUGUUGGCAUCAACAGUCCCCCUAAAGUGAGCAUCCUGCCGCCGUCCAGUGAAGAGAUUUCCACAAAGCAAACAGCAACACUGAUGUGUGUGGCCAACAAGGGCUUCCCCUCAGACUGGAGUCUGAACUGGAAGGUGGACGGGAUCAGCAGCAGGUCUCAGUACAGCAGUGUUGCUCUCCUGGAGAAGGACGGUCUGUACAGCUGGAGCAGCAGUCUGACUCUCUCUGAGCAGGAGUGGAGCUCAGUGAUCUCAGUCAGCUGUGAGCUCACACAGAAAGACCAGCGUGACAUGGCCGCGGGAAGUGGGGGUGCUGCGGGCUGCAGGAUGACGUGA